GGGGGAUAUUGCACAAUGGGGGAAACCCUGAUGCAGCGACGCCGCGUGGAGGAAGAAGGUUUUCGGAUUGUAAACUCCUGUCGUUAGGGACGAAUCUUGACGGUACCUAACAAGAAAGCACCGGCUAACUACGUGCCAGCAGCCGCGGUAAAACGUAGGGUGCAAGCGUUGUCCGGAAUUACUGGGUGUAAAGGGAGCGCAGGCGGACCGGCAAGUUGGAAGUGAAAUCUAUGGGCUCAACCCAUAAAUUGCUUUCAAAACUGCUGGCCUUGAGUAGUGCAGAGGUAGGUGGAAUUCCCGGUGUAGCGGUGGAAUGCGUAGAUAUCGGGAGGAACACCAGUGGCGAAGGCGACCUACUGGGCACCAACUGACGCUGAGGCUCGAAAGCAUGGGUAGCAAACAGGAUUAGAUACCCUGGUAGUCCAUGCCGUAAACGAUGAUUACUAGGUGUUGGAGGAUUGACCCCUUCAGUGCCGCAGUUAACACAAUAAGUAAUCCACCUGGGGAGUACGACCGCAAGGUUGAAACUCAAAGGAAUUGACGGGGGCCCGCACAAGCAGUGGAGUAUGUGGUUUAAUUCGAAGCAACGCGAAGAACCUUACCAGGUCUUGACAUCCGAUGCAUAGUGCAGAGAUGCAUGAAGUCCUUCGGGACAUCGAGACAGGUGGUGCAUGGUUGUCGUCAGCUCGUGUCGUGAGAUGUUGGGUUAAGUCCCGCAACGAGCGCAACCCUUAUUGCCAGUUACUACGCAAGAGGACUCUGGCGAGACUGCCGUUGACAAAACGGAGGAAGGUGGGGAUGACGUCAAAUCAUCAUGCCCUUUAUGACCUGGGCUACACACGUACUACAAUGGCGUUUAACAAAGAGAAGCAAGACCGCGAGGUGGAGCAAAACUCAAAAACAACGUCUCAGUUCAGAUUGCAGGCUGCAACUCGCCUGCAUGAAGUCGGAAUUGCUAGUAAUCGCGGAUCAGCAUGCCGCGGUGAAUACGUUCCCG
Molecule: ribosomal RNA, 997 nt
Filed under: uncultured bacterium
Lineage: Bacteria
Description: bacterial SSU rRNA
Rfam family: Bacterial small subunit ribosomal RNA
Source: RNAcentral